Molecule: long non-coding RNA, 660 nt
Organism: Manihot esculenta (cassava)
Lineage: Eukaryota; Viridiplantae; Streptophyta; Magnoliopsida; Malpighiales; Euphorbiaceae
Exons: 2
Source: RefSeq, a predicted model, not a curated record
CCUGCUCUAGAAACCUCUCAUUCCUCUCGUCUUGACCCUCUGUCAUUGCAAGAUUGAGCAGACUAUGGGAUUGCGUUUGCUCAUCGUUGUUCAUCGCACAAUUCAUUGGAUUUCAUCGAGAUUGAGUCUCUGCCUUAAUCCCAUGGUCUGUUCGAUGGAAUUCCAUUGAGAUUGAGCAGAUCAUGUGAUUGAGUAGAUCAGUUGUUACAAGGUCCUAUGAAGUUAGACCUAUAAAACUGUUACACUUGAGAGCAUCUCUAUCUUCUUCAGCAAUGGAUUUGGAGCUACACAAGGAAUGGUGGGGAAUAAUCUCAUCUAAGUUGUCUCAAAAUUGUAAGUUCAAGUAGAUCAAUACCCAAUCUAGCAAGUUCAUAAUCUAGACAGCGAUAAGAGGGAGGAGGGAGAGAGAAAGGACCACAGAAGGAGUCUGUUGGAGGCUAGAGCAUGGAUUGAGCUUUCCAAAAUAGAGCUCCUUAUCCCUCUAGAUUUUCAGAGGUGUCUUAGUUUUAAUAUUUUGACAAAACUAAUAAAUUCCAUUGUGUUUUUAUAGUUUGCGGAGGGAAAUAUGAGAACUUGUAUAAUCAUGGAGUUUUCUGUUGGAGAGGGCAUGUGAGCUUUCCAAAAUAAAACCCCUUGUCUCUGUGUACUCCUUAUUCUGCA